GUAGGUGGCAAGCGUUGUCCGGAAUUAUUGGGCGUAAAGCGCGCGCAGGCGGUCCUUUAAGUCUGAUGUAAAAGCCCACGGCUCAACCGUGGAGGGUCAUUGGAAACUGGGGGACUUGAGUACAGAAGAGGAAAGCGGAAUUCCAAGUGUAGCGGUGAAAUGCGUAGAGAUUUGGAGGAACACCAGUGGCGAAGGCGGCUUUCUGGUCUGUAACUGACGCUGAGGCGCGAAAGCGUGGGGAGCAAACAGGAUUAGAUACCCUGGUAGUCCACGCCGUAAACGAUGAGUGCUAAGUGUUAGGGGGUUUCCCGCCCCCUUAGUGCUGCAGCUAACGCAUUAAGCACUCCGCCUGGGGAGUACGGCCGCAAGGCUG
Molecule: ribosomal RNA, 373 nt
Filed under: uncultured organism
Description: partial 16S ribosomal RNA
Rfam family: Bacterial small subunit ribosomal RNA
Source: RNAcentral